RNAcentral lists this ribosomal RNA (468 nucleotides) under uncultured bacterium. RNAcentral describes it as "partial 16S ribosomal RNA". It matches the Rfam family "Bacterial small subunit ribosomal RNA", at positions 28 to 507 of the family's 1533-position model. The record is from RNAcentral.
GACGAACGCUGGCGGCGUGCUUAACACAUGCAAGUCGAACGGAAAGGCCCUGCUUUUGUGGGGUGCUCGAGUGGCGAACGGGUGAGUAACACGUGAGUAACCUGCCCUUGACUUUGGGAUAACUUCAGGAAACUGGGGCUAAUACCGGAUAGGAGCUCCUGCUGCAUGGUGGGGGUUGGAAAGUUUCGGCGGUUGGGGAUGGACUCGCGGCUUAUCAGCUUGUUGGUGGGGUAGUGGCUUACCAAGGCUUUGACGGGUAGCCGGCCUGAGAGGGUGACCGGCCACAUUGAGACUGAGAUACGACCCAGACUCCUACGGGAGGCAGCAGUGGGGAAUAUUGCACAAUGGGCGGAAGCCUGAUGCAGCAACGCCGCGUGCGGGAUGACGGCCUUCGGGUUGUAAACCGCUUUCGCCUGUGACGAAGCGUGAGUGACGGUAAUGGGUAAAGAAGCACCGGCUAACUACGUG